AUUGAACGCUGGCGGCAUGCCUUACACAUGCAAGUCGAACGGCAGCGGGGGAGAAGCUUGCUUUUCCUGCCGGCGAGUGGCGAACGGGUGAGUAAUACAUCGGAACGUGCCCUGUAGUGGGGGAUAACUAGUCGAAAGAUUAGCUAAUACCGCAUACGACCUGAGGGUAAAAGUGGGGGACCGCAAGGCCUCAUGCUCUAGGAGCGGCCGCUGUCUGAAUAGCGAGUUGGUGGGGUAAAGGCCUACCAAGGCGACGAUCAGUAGCUGGUCUGAGAGGACGAUCAGCCACACUGGGACUGAGACACGGCCCAGACUCCUACGGGAGGCAGCAGUGGGGAAUUUUGGACAAUGGGCGAAAGCCUGAUCCAGCAAUGCCGCGUGUGUGAAGAAGGCCUUCGGGUUGUAAAGCACUUUUGUCCGGAAAGAAAUGGCUCUGGUUAAUACCUGGGGGUCGAUGACGGUACCGGAAGAAUAAGGACCGGCUAACUACGUGCCAGCCGCCGCAGUAA
Molecule: ribosomal RNA, 509 nt
Filed under: uncultured bacterium
Lineage: Bacteria
Description: partial 16S ribosomal RNA
Rfam family: Bacterial small subunit ribosomal RNA
Source: RNAcentral